Molecule: long non-coding RNA, 3543 nt
Organism: Phyllostomus discolor (pale spear-nosed bat)
Lineage: Eukaryota; Metazoa; Chordata; Mammalia; Chiroptera; Phyllostomidae
Exons: 3
Source: RefSeq, a predicted model, not a curated record
AAAAUAAAUAAAUAAAAUCUUAAAAAAUAAAACAAAAGAAUAAUUCUGGGAGGCCAGGCUCCCUAAAUUACCCCACUUCAUAGAGAAGGAAAUUAAGAACCAAGCAGGGAAAGAAACAUACUUAAGGUCACGUGGAUGUUUGAGUCAACUGGGAUAUAGAACUUGGUCUCUCAACUCACACACCAGGUCUGAUCCUGGUUCAAGGUGAUGAAGAGGACCAAUUCAUUACUAGGUGCUGAGCCCCUACCGAAUUGUGGAAUAUCUUGUACUUGGCGCUGGUGUACAGUUCAGUGGUUUUUAGUAUAUUCAGAGUUGUGCAACCACUACCACUACCUAAUUCCAGAACAUUUCACUCCCAAAGAAACCUUGUACUCAUUUGCAAUCAGUUUCCAUUCCUCCCUUUCUCUAGCACCUGGAAACCACUAAUCUACUGUGUCUCUAUGAAUUUGCCUAUUCUAGGCAUUUCAUAUAAAUUGAAUUACAAUAUGUGGCCUUUUAUGUCUGGCUCCUUUCAUUUAGCAUGAUGUUUUCAAGGUUCAUCUGUGUUGUGCAUUUAUCACUACUUCAUUCUGUUUUUAGGCCAACUAACAUCCCAUUGCAUGUGUAUUUCACAUUUUAUUUAUUCAUCAGGUGAGUGACGUUUGGGUUGGGUUGUUUACACUAUUUAGCUAUUGUGAAUAGCAAAACACACGUGCACACAAAAACUUACAUGUGAACCUUCACGUGUAAAUUUUUGUGUGGAUGUAUGUUUUCAAUUUUUCCUGCAUUUUUGCUGACUUUUUGAGUCAGUUUCUAUUUUUUUAAAUAUAGAUUGAAACGGGUGAUUUUUUUCUGUAAAGGGUCAAAUAGUAAAUAUGUUAGGCUUUGUGGGCCGUAUGCCCUAGCAAGUGCUGAACUGCAGUUGUAACAUGAAAGCCACCAUAGACAUUAUGUAAACAAGUAACUGUGGAUAUGCUUCAGUGAAACUUGAAGCAGGCAUUGGGCCAUGUUUGGACUGUGACCUAUAGUUUGUCAACCUCUAAUCUAGAUGAUUUUUCACAUAAUUUGAUACUCCACAACUACAAAAUGUGAAAAUUCUUCCUCCUACUUCUGUCCUCCCACCGCAAGUUUCCCUCCUUUGAAGCAAUUCAUGUUGUGAAAUUUUGCAUCUCCUUUCAGAGACAGUUGAUAAACAGCACAUUUUUAAGUGGCUGUGUAAAGUUCCAAUGUGUUGUAGAUAGGUUCAUCAACAUGCAACAACUAAUAUAUCUGAAGGCAUACCCUGAAAGACAGCACUAUUUCCAGAGUGUUGCUCUGACCUGCCCAAUUGACUCCUCCAUCAGAAUAAUCUUUGGAACUCAUGGGAUUUUCCCAGGAAUUUUGGGGACUAUGUCUAAUGAAUAUAUUGGUUGAUCCCUUUUGGAUCAAAAACAAGCUCUGAUUCUCAAGGGACACAGGUUUUUCUUGGAUAGUUUUUGUCCUAGUCAGAGUUCCACUAGAGAAACACAACUAGUAGGGUAUACUUUAUCUAUCAUCUUUUAUCUAUUUAUCAUCUAUCAUCUUUCAUCUAUGCAUCCAUCUAGAUUUGUGGCGAGAAAUUGGCUUACCUGGCUGUGGGGCUAGGUGGGCAAGUCUGGAAUCCGUACUGCAGGCUGUAAAGAAGGUCAGGCUGGAAACUUUUAGGAGCCGACUGCAGUCCACAGGUGGAAUUUCUUCUUCAGGGAAGCCUCAGGCCUCUCAGCGAGUGGGAUCAGGUUGAUCUGUGUUAAUCGGGAAAAUCUCCUUUACAUGAAGUUAACUGAUUGUAGAUGUUAAUCAUAUCUACAAAAUACCUUCACAGCAACAUCUAGAUUAGUGUUUGAUUAGGUAUCAGAGCCUAGUCAACACACAGAAUUGAUCCCAGUUCACACCUAAUCAAUCUGGCACCCAUACAUGUCUCCUUAUACCAUACUUAGGCUCCAUAAAACCAAUAACAAAGCCAUACUUCCACUUAACAUGGUACAGUUACCCUGCAUACAACUGAAAACAUGCUAACUCUUCUUUGCCUUUUGAUUCAGAGGUAUGAGGAGCCCAAAAUGACCAGGUGGCAGUCUAACUUCCAAUUCAGUGGAAUCAGUGUUGUGUUUCCUGGUGAGACCAUUCCUCCCUUUGCAAUGAAGACCUGUAGACCAGCAGAGCGUAAGGUUGCAAGGAUGGGAAGCAAAAAGUUUGCUAAUGGAUACUAGUGAGACGUACCAUUUCAUUUCCUCUUCUUCAUUACUGGAACCAUGGACCCUGGCUGGGGGAGAAACCACACCAUACAUGGGAUGUUGAUUUAGAGCACAUACAGUCUCCCGAAGGGUAUUGCCCCAACCCUGCAUGGUGUUGCCACCUAGUUGGUGCUGUAACUGGAUCUUCAAAAGGCUAUUCAACCCUUCUAUCAAGUCAGCUACUUCAGGAUAAUGGGAAACAUGGUAAGACCAGUAAAUUCUGUGAACAUGGGCCCUUUGCUGCACCUCAUUUGCCAUGAAGUGAGUUCCUUUAUUAGAAGCGAUGCUGUGUGAAAUACCAUGAUGGUGGAUAAGGUAUUCUGGAAGUCCACAAAUGGUAGUUUUGGCCUAAGUGCUACAUGUAGGGAAAGCAAAUCCAUAUCCAGGGUGAGUUAUUUUAGUGAGAACAAAGCACUGCCCCUUCCAUGAUGGAAGUAGUCCAAUGUAAUCAACCUGCCACGAGAUAGCUGGCUGAUCACCCCAGGGAAUGGUGUCGGGUCUCAGUGUUAGUCUCUGUUGCAGGCAGAUAGGGUUCUCAGCAGUGGCUUAGCCAGCUUGGCUUUGGUGAGUAGAAGUCCAUGUUGCUGAGCCCAUCAAUAAGCUCCAUCCCUGCCACCUGGCUACCUUGUUCAUAAGCCAAUGGGCAAUGACAAGCAUGGCUGGGAAGAGGCUGACUGGUAUCCACGGGACAGGUCAUCCUAUCCACUUGAUUAUUAAAAUCCUCCAAUGCAGAGGGCACAUGGGACACAAACAUCUUCACAUUCCUUGCCCAUUUAGAGAGACCCACAUCCUAGAUUCCGUGUUGCCAAUUUUGUGGUCCUGUUCCUAUCAAGUCCCUGACUGUCCAGCCAAACCACUGACCGUAGCUCAUGAAUCAACAUAGUUUAUGCUUCUGGCCAUUUCUUUUCUAAGCACAAUAAAUAAUCAGGUGCCCUGCUGCAAGUUCUGUCCACUGGGAAGGUUUGCCUUCGCCUCUGUCCUGCACGGAUAUCCUAGAAAGGGGCUGUCCCUGCCACAGCUGCCCACUUUUGGGUGGCACCUGUAGCCAGUCCUGAGUUUUCUCUUCCUUAGUCAACUGGUCACAGGGAACUCCCAUGACACCAUGGGUGCAGGCUGGGAGAGAGAAGGUAAUAUAACAGGAAUAGGGACUGUGGGCAUUUGAGUUACUUCAUCAUCCCAGAGAAAGACUGAACCAGCAGAAGAUAUAUAUCUCCUAUCCAGAAUCACCAGCAAUAUAUAAUAUACAUACAUGCACAUAUAUAAAACUAUUGAUAAUUAUGAUUAAUGGGUAUCAAAAUAUGAUCCUAAAGAUAUA